Equus caballus (horse) is the source of this 8172-nucleotide long non-coding RNA. Lineage: Eukaryota; Metazoa; Chordata; Mammalia; Perissodactyla; Equidae. The record is from Ensembl.
UGAAUAAACGGUUCUUCUCAGAUCUCAACCCUGCUGCGUUUCCGACCGGAAAUUAGAUCAUCGGCUCCACGGUUCUCCAGGUUGCUGACCGCAAAUCUCGGAAUUGGCUCACAGGAGUAUGGAGACCGAGAAGUCCCAAAAUCUGUGUCCGCGUUAAACUGGACAACGCGAGAGCAGAUGGCGUGACUUCCGGUCGAGAACCCAGCGGCUUGAGAUCCGAGAAGAGCGCGUUUCAGUUACACUCUGAAGGCAGGAAACAACCUUUUGGAAUGAGGUGUGCAACAUAAGCUUUAUGAAGAAAAUUUUUCCAGCUUUGUUGAGCACAGAUUGUCAGCCUAUUCCCCUGGACCAAUCAAUCUUGAAUGGAGAUAAGAAAUCUGUAUUAAAUCCUCAGGCAUUGCUACAUGUAUUGGUACUGAAUCAACACUUCAUCUAUGAAGAGAACGAUACCUGUGGUCCUUAUUAAUCAUCCUUUCAAUAAAUUAUUCUUUACCUGAGAUGACACUUUUUGACCUUCCUUUGAUGGACAUCAGCAGGUGAUAAACUCUAUUUUCUUUGUGUUGUGUUAGUUUUUCUGAAAAUAUUUUUAUUAUUUUCUUGUUUUACUGUGUACAGAAUACUUGGAAGAUGUUGUUCCCUUGUCUUUCAACUUCCAUGGCAUACACUGAGUGUACCAUAGUAGUGGGAUGCUGAUAUGGAGGGAAGAAAAUGGGCCACAAAGUGAAGAGAUUGGGGACUGGUAGGACAAGGCUAUACUAUUUCAUGAAAGGGAUCAUCCACAUGAAUAUUGAAAAUCUGAAGAUGAAGUGCAUCCUGCAUGACUGAGAAAGGACCCUGUGAGUUGCCUGCGCUUUGUCUUUCAUGAUUGUGCUGCGCUUUACCUUCACUAAAGCUUUAUUUAGGAAAAACAAAAGAGUGCCCACUAUCACUGUUGCAACUGAAUAUUAUUCUGAAAGUCAUGGGAAGUGCAACAAAAAAUGAAAUAGAAAUGCAAGAUGCCAAAAUUACAAUUUCUUCUGAAACCAUGGUUGUACGUACCAAGAAGAUUUCAAAGAAUCAACCGCGAAAACUCAAAUUUGGGAGCUCUCAACAAAGUGGCCUAUGUUUGGAGUCCCCAAGAUCACCCUCAUAUCCAGUGAUUCACUAGAAGGACUCAUAGGAUUCAGAAAACAGUUAUAGUCAUGUUGCAGUUUAUUACAAAAAAAAAAAAAGAGAUUAAAAUCAGAAAAGGGAGAAGAUGUAUGGGAGAAAGUCCAGAAGAAACUAGGCACAAACUUCUGAGGUUCUUCUCCCAGUGGAGUCACGUGGACAUACUUAUCUCCCAGCAAGAAUGUGUGACAACACGUGCAAUGUGUUGCCAAUUGAGGAAUCUCACUUGAGCCUUGGUGCUCAGAGUUUUAAUUGGGAGGUCAGUCACAUAAGCAUGCAGCAACUGUGUGUUGUUUUUACUGUUGUUUUUGAAUUAACUGAUUUCUCUUAUGAAAAUAUCCAAUUUUUUUAAAUUUAAUUUUUAUUGAGUUAAUGAUAGGUUACAAUCUUGUGAAAUUUCUAUUGUAUAUUACUGUUUGUCAGUCGUGUUGUAAGUGCACCCUUUCAUCCUUUGUGCCCAUCCCCCACCCCACGUUUCCCCCAGUAGCCACUAAUCUGUUCUCUUUGUCUGCAUUUUUAAAUUCUUCAUAUGAGUGGAGUCAUAAAGAGAUUGUCCUUCUCUAUCUGGCUUAUUUCACUUAACAUAAUUCCCUCAAGUUCCAUCCAUGUUGUUGCAAAUGGGACGAUUUUUUUCUUUUUUACGGCUGAGUAGUAUUCCAUUGUAUGUAUAUAUACCACAUCUUCUUUAUCCGAUCGUCUGUUGAUGGGCACUUAGGUUGCUUCCACAUCUUGGCUAUUGUAAAUAAUGCUGCAAUGAACAUUGGGGUGCAUGGGACUUUUGGAAUUGCUGACCUCAAGCUUUUUGGAUAGAUACCCAGUAGUAGGAUAGCUGGAUCCUAUGGUAGUUUUAUUUUUAAUUUUUUGAGGAAUCUCCAUACUGUUGUCCAUAGUGGCUGCACCAGUUUGCAUUCCCACCAGCAGUGUAUGAGGGUUCCUUUUCCUCCACACCCUCUCCAACAUUUGUUACUAUUUGUUUUAGUUAUUUUUGUCAUUCUAAUGAGUGUAAGGUGAUAUCUUAGUGUAGUUUUGAUUUGCAUUUCCCUGAUGAUCAUCGAUGAUGAACAUCUUUUCAUGUUCCUAUUGGCCAUCCAUAUAUCUUCUUUGGAGAAAUGUCUAUUCAUGUCUCCUGUCCAAUUUUUGAUCCAGUUGUUUGAUUUUUUGUUGUUGAGUUGUGUGAGUUCUUUAUAUAUUAUGGAUAUAACCCUGCGUCAGAUUUAUGACCUGCAAAUGUUUUUUCCCAGUUAGUGGGUGGUUUUUUUGUUUCAAUCCUGUUUUCCUUUGACUUGAAGAUGCUCUUCAGUCUGAUUAAGUCCCAUUUGUUUAUUCUUUCUAUUGUUUCCCUUGUCUGAGAAGACAUGGUGUCCUUUUAGUACUGAUGUCAAAGAGUGUACUGCCUACAUUUUCUUCUAGAAGCCUUAUGGUUUCAGGUCUCACCUUUAGGUCUUUGAUCCAUUUUGAGUUUAUUUUGGUGAAUGGUGAAAAAGAAUGGUCAAUUUUCAUUCUUUUACUUGUGGCUUUCCAGUUUUCCAGCACUAUUUGUUGAAAAGACUUUGUUUUCUCCAUUGUAUGCCCUCAGCUCUUCUGUCAAAGAUUAGCUGUCCAUAGAUGUGUGGUUUUAUUUCUGGGCUUUCAAUUCUGUUCCAUCGAUAUGUGCACCUGUUUUUGUACCAGGACCGUGCUGUUUUGAUUACUGUAGCUUUGUAGUAUGUUUUAAAAUUCGGGAUUGUGAUGCCUCCAGCUUUGUUCUUUUUUCUCAGGAUUGCCUUACCAAUUCAGGGUCUUUUGUUGCCCCAUAUGAAUUUUAGGAUUCUUUCUUCUAUUUCUGUAAAGAAUUCAUUGGGAUUCUGAUUGGGAUGGCAUUGAAUCUGUAGAUUGCUUUAGGUAGAGUGGACAUUUUAGCUAUGUUUAUUCUUCCAAUCCAAGUACAUGGAAUGUCUUUCCAUCUCUUUAUGUCGUCAUUCCAUUUCUUUAAGAAAAGCCUUGUAAUUUUCAUUGUAUAGGUCUUGCACUUCCUUAGUUAAAUUCACUCCGAGGUAUUUUAUUCUUUUUGUUGCGAUUGUGAAUGGUAUUGUGUUCUUGAAUUCUUUUUCUGUUAGUUUGUUAUUAGAGUAUAGAAAUGCUACUGAUUUAUGUAAAUUGAUUUUAUACCCUGCAACAUUGCUGUAGUUGUUGAUUACUUCUAAAAUUUUUCCAAUGGAUUCUUUGGGGUUUUCUGUAUAUAAGAUCAUGUCAUCUGCAAACAGUGAGAGUUUCACUUUUUCCCUCCCUAUUUGGAUUCAUUUUAUUCCUUUUCUUGCCUAAUUGCUCUGGCCAAAACCUCCAGUACUAUGUUAAAUAAGAGUGAUGAUAAAGGGCAUCAUUAUCUCGUUCCUGUUUUCAGGGGGAUGGCACUCAGUUUUUGCCCAUUGAGUAUGAUGUUGGCUAUGGGUUUGUCAUAUAUGGCCUUUAUUAUGUUGAGGUAGUUUCCGUCUAUCCCCAUUUUGUUAAGAGUUUUUAUCCUAAAUGGCUGUUUGAUCUUGUCAAAUGCUUUCUCUGCAUCUAUUGAGAUGAUCACAUGGUUUUUAUUCCUCAGUUUGUUGAUGUGGUGUAUCACGUUGAUUGACUUGUGGAUGUUGAACCCUCCCUGUGUCCCUGGUAUGAAUACCACUUGAUCAUGAUGUAUAAUCUUUUUGAUGAAUUCCUGAAUUUGGGUUGCCAAAAUUUUGUUGAGAAUUUUUGCAUCUAUGUUCAUCAGUGAUAUUGGCCAGUAGUUCUCCUUUUUCACAGGCUUUGGUAUCAGCGUGAUGUUGGCCUCGUAGAAUGUGUCAGGAAGUGUUCCAUCCUCCCUAAUUUUUUGGAAUAGCUUGAAAGGGAUAGGUAUUAAAUCCUCUCUGAAAGUGUGGUAGAAUUCCCCAGGAAAGCCAUCUGGUCCUGGAGUUUUAUUCUUUGGGAUGCUUUUGAUUGCUGUUUCAAUCUCUUUCCUUGUGAUUGGUCUGUUCAAAUUGUCUGCUGCUUCUUGACUAAGUUUUGGGAGAUUGUGAGAGUCCAAGAAUUUAUCCAUUUCCUCUAGGUUAUCCAUUUUGUUGGCAUGUAGUUUUUCGUAGUAUUCUAUUAUAAUCUGUUGUAUUUCUGCAGAGUCUGUUAUUUCUCCUCUUUCAUUUCUGAUUUUGUUUAUUUGAGCUUUUUCUCUUUGUUUCUUUUUAAGUCUGGCUAGGGGUUUGUCAAUUUUAUUUAUCUUCUCAAAGAACCAGCUCUUUGUUUCAUUGAUCCUUUCUACUGCCUUUUUUGUUUCAAUAGCAUUUAUUUCUGCUCUCAUUUUUAUUAUUUCCCUCCUUCUAUUGACUUUGGGCUUUGUUUGUUCUUCUUUCUCUAAUUUGGUUAGGUGUAGUUUAAGAUUGCUUAUUUGGGGUUUUUCUUGUUUGUUAAGAUGUGUCUGUAUUGUGAUGAAUUUUCCUCUUAAUACAGCUUUUGCUGUAUCCCAUAAGACUUGGUAUGGCAUGUUAUCAUUUUCAUUUAUCUCCAGGUAUUUUUUGAUUUCUUCUUUAAUUUCUUCAAUGAUCCAUUGCUUGUUCAAUAACAUAUCAUUUAGUCUCCACAUCCUUGUGCCUUUCUCAGAUUUUUUCUUGUAAUUAAUUUCUAGCUUUAUAGCAAUAUGAUCAGAGAAGAUGCUUGUUAUUAUUUCAAUUUUUUUAAAUUUGUAGAGGCUUGCCUUGUUUCCCAACAUAUGGUCUAUCCUUCAGAAUGUUCCAUGUGUGCUUGACAAGAAUGUGUAUUCUGUUUUGGGAUGAAUUGUUCUAUAUAUGUCUAUUAAGUCCAACUGUUUUAGCUUUUCAUUUAGCUCCACUGUUUCCUUGUUGAUUUUCUGUCUGGAUGAUCUGCCCAUUGAUGUGAGUGGGGUGUUGAGGUCCCCUACUAUUAUUGUGUUACUUUUGAUACCUUCUUUUAGGUUUGUUAAUAGUUGCUUUAUGAACUUUGGUGCUCCUGUGUUGGGUGCAUAGAUAUUUAUAAGUGUUGUUUCUUCUUGACGAAGUGUCCCUUUGAUCAUUAUAUUUUGGCCCUCUAUGUCUCUCUUUACCUGCCUUAUUUUGAAAUCUGUUUUGUCUGAUAUAAGUAUUGUGACACCUGCUUUCUUUUGUUUCCUAUUAGCUUGGAGUAUUGUAUUCCACCCCUUCGCUCUGAGCCUGUGUUUGUCCUUGGAGCUGAGGUGUGUUUCCUGGAGGCAACAAAUUGUUGGCUCUUGUUCUUUAAUCCAUUUUGCACCUCUGUGUGUUUUUAUUGGAGUGUUCAAUUGUUUACAUUGAGGGUGAUUAUUGAUGCAUGAGGGCUUAAUGCUGUCAUUCUGUCGCUUGUUUUCUGGUUUUCCUGCAUUUCCUUUGUUUCUCAUCCUGUGUGUUUUAGCCUACCCAUUGACUUCUGCAUUUUCUUCUGCUGGAUUUCUUAGACUUUUCCUUAUUUAUGUUUUGUGUCUCUGUUCUGUUUUUUAGUUUAGUGGCUAUCCUGAAGUUUGUGUUCAGAAUUUCGUGUAUAACAGUCCAUUUUCUGGUGGUCUCUUACUUCCUUAGCCUAGACUGAUUCAGUCCCUUUCCUGCUCCCCUCCUAAAUUAUUAUUUUCAUCUCUUAUUCCAACUUGUAUUGUGAGUUUGUGGUUAGAGUGAUAAGAUUGUCUUUCUUUGAUGAUUUUCUUCUCUUUAUCCUAAUGCUAUAGUUGAAUAUUUGCUAUCCUAUUCUGAUUCUAUUUGUCUCUCUACUCUGUGUUUUGUGACCCCUUUCUCCCUUUUUUUCUUUUUUCAGGUAUGAGAGCCUUCUUGAGGAUUUCUUGUAGUGGCAGUCUUGUGGCUACAAAGCCCCUUAGCUUUUGUUUGUCUGAAAAAGAUUUAAUUUCUCCCUCAUAUCUGAAGGAUAUUCUUGCUGGAUAGAGUAUUCUUGGCUGAAGAUUUUUAUCCUUUAAAGCUUUGAAUAUGUCAUUCCAAUCUCUCCUAACUUGUGAGGUUUCUGUAGAGAAAUCCACUGAAAGUCUGAUAGGGGUUCCUUUGUAGCUUAUUUUCUUCUGCCUUGCUGCCCUGAGUAUUCUUUCUUUGUCAUUCAUUUUUGCCAUUUUUAUUACUAUGUGCCUUGCAGUAGGUCUUUUUACAUUGACAAAUCUAGAUCUGAAAGCUUUCUCCACACACAUUUCUCUCUCAAUCCCUAUAUUUGGGAAGUUCUCUUCUAUUAUUUCUUUAAGCACACUUUCUGCUCCAUUUUUUCUUUUCCACACCCUCAGGAAUUCCGAUAAUUCUUCAGUCUCAUUUUCUCAUUGAGUCAGAUAAUUCUCACAGAUUUUCUUCAGUUUUUUUAAUUCUUAGUUCUCUUUCUUCCUCUGUCUGGGCCAUGCAGCUUGUCUAUCUUCGAUUAUACUAAUUUGCUCCUCUAUGGUGUCUACAUGGGCAUUCAAAGAGUCCCUAUUCUGUUUUAUCUGAUCUGUUGUAUUUUUCAUCUCUAGUAUUUCUGAUUGAUUCUUCUUUAUAGUUUCCAUCUCUUUUGUGAAGUAAUUCCAGAACUCGUUGACUUGUUUCUCUAUAUUUCCCUUUACUUCAUUGAGUUUUUUGAUGAUAGCUACUCUGAAUUCAUUGUCACUUAGUUUACCUGUUUCCAAGUCCUCAGGACAUACUUCUGUGUUUUUAUUAUUUUCCUUUUGGUCUGGAGCUUUUAUAAAUUACUGAAAGGUAGAGGAGCGGUUUUUGUGCAUAAUGCUAUUAUUCAGUUGCAGUUAGAGCCUGUCACCACUAGAUGGGGAUUGAGAGCAGCACGUUCUGAGCCCUCCACCUUCAGCCACGAUGGCGGCAUGCAGCGCAGGUUGGGGGGGGGGCACUUUCUCUUGUGCGCUGACCUGGAUUCGGAUCAGCUCUCACUCUCUGGUUUUCUGGGGCCCUGGCUUGAUGUGGUCCCCCCACUCAAAAGCUUUCCCCUGUUAGAUGGUUUCUGCUGCACAGAUCUGUGGGAGUCCUGGAUGAUGCUUGGAUGCGCGGCCCCUCCCCUGUUCCUUUCCUCACCCACGGCAGUGAUCCUAGUCUCUAUGGGAGGCAGCGAAGAUCUCUCUUACCCCUUCCAGCUGCUCUGAGGACAGCUCCAGCCUCUCCACCCUCCAUUGUUUGGCUGCUGUGGGUCUCUGACAAUUUCUGUUAUUAGGAUUUUUUUUUCUGGUUGGAAAGCAGUUGGUGCUUUUGGUUGCAGUUUGGAGGGGAGAGAGUCCCAGGUGAGCUCACUCUACCAUAUUGCUGACGUCACCUCGAAAAUACCAGAUUUUUAUAGUGGGUUUGGAAUGUUGGAAAACUAGCACAAUUGUUUAAAGAGUUAUUCAAAUUAUUUUUGAUUCAUUUAACAAGUACUUUUUCAAAACAUACGAACAAUGUCAUCCACUGUUCUAGGCUGGGACUAUUGUAUCAACAAUACAGACAAGUCGACCACUCUUUUGGAACAUAUAUUAUGCCUCUACCUUUGGGGAAUAAAGGAUCAACAUUAAUGUGAACCGAAAUACACUUAUGGCUUUUAUAUAACACUAUGUUGACUUUUCUGCCUGAAAACACUGCAAUUCUGUAACAAUGUCAACAAAUCAAAUACAUAUUUAGUGAGCAUCUGGGUAUGUACAAAGCUCUCCCCCAGGUGCUGUGGAUAUAUAUGCAGUUUAUGACUAAGUUAAACAAGAAACAAAAACAUGAAAAAAUAAAAUAAAAUACCUUGUUUCAGCCAUCACAAGAUAUGAGGAAAAACACAUUAUUUAAUAAAAUUCAUUUUUUAUUCUGUGGUUGGUACCCAAUUACCAAUACUGCUGAUAUUUUGAACAGCCCUACAUGUUAGGUUUGAUUAUCCUCACUUUGUAUAUAUGGAAACUGAGAUUUGGAAAACUGAAGUGUUCUGAGAGAGAUAGAUAAUAUAUGUCAGAGCUUGGAGUUAUAGUUAUCAUUCUACAAAACCCAGGUCCUUUAUACCAGAGCUUUUCAAAAUAUGUGUGGAGAAGGAACACAGAUCCAUUGUGGACCAAUACUUUUGUAAACUGCAAUAAAAAUA